RNAcentral lists this long non-coding RNA (1380 nucleotides) under Linum usitatissimum (flax). RNAcentral describes it as "long non-coding RNA (LUSI_LNC007581)". Lineage: Eukaryota; Viridiplantae; Streptophyta; Magnoliopsida; Malpighiales; Linaceae. The record is from RNAcentral.
UUCAUUUGAAUCAUCCUUCUGUUCUUCUUUUCUCACUUCUUUGUACUCGUUCCUUUUUAGUAGUGUUGUAGUGUAGCAAUUUUUUUAAUAAUUGAGAUAAGUUAUCUCAAUUGGGUAGAUAGGUGAGCGGUAGAAAGUCUCGGUAAUGUUUUACCGUGGUAGGAAUAUUUUCUUAUGAGCGAUAAAAAUAGUGAGUAGUUGUUUCGGGGUUGGGAAACGCUCGAGAGACACUAUUUUUGGAUCGAUUCGGAUCGCCUUGUAGCUACCUUGUUAUAGUGAAGAAGUGCUCGUAGCUGUCGUUGCUGCCUUAGAUGUACUCUCCGCAUUGGAGGGGAACUACGUAAAUCCCGAUGUUAUUUACUUAUCGUUUUGUGCUUGGCAAUUUCGAGAAUAUUUGUUGUAUAGUGCAUUAUUAAUAUUACCACAGUAAAUUAGUCUAAGGAGGUUGGCUUAAUUAUCGUCAUCAUGGUAUUAUGGUGAUAAUCACCCAUCCAUAGUGAUUUUAAGUGUGGCGGACUACCCCACUUCCAACCCGUUUGAGAUAUAUUUACUCUAUUCUCGUCCGCUGCACCCCAACACAGAUUGCCGAAGGCUUAGACGCCCAAUUCCCUCAAAAUAGGCACCUUGGGCCCAAUAUUCGCCCUAAGACACCUAUCCGGUGAUGGCUCAUGGCUCAAAGUCGUGGCCAUUAAUGCAGAGUGCUAUUCUGUAGCUGGUGAAAAUGAUGUUCCAAAAUCAGUAUGUUCCAUUGCUUCAUUCCCUUGUAUAUUUCUCAAUUCCUUAUUCAUGUUUGUUAACUGAACUUAACAGACCUCGUCGAUAUACUGGACGAUGACGAGGGAAUCAGAGAUGGGUUUGUCGUUGUGGAUCAAGACAAGGAUUUGGUUGGUGGCUGGGUUCAUUUCCCCAAAGCAGAGUGCUCUUCUUCGUGCCUAGACUCGUACUCAGUAACGCCCAUUUCGGCCAGCGCAAUCUUUACUCUGGCUGAAAACGGACUCGCUCCCCAGCCAACAAGUAUGAGCUUGCCCGAGUUAGCAGCCAUUACUUACUUAGUUUGUUGCAGAAGGUAAUAGUAAGUAAGAGUAGUAAUUAGUCAACUAGUUGAAAGGGUUAGCUAUUGUUUGUGAAAGUGGAUGUGCAGUGCAGGGCUUAGAUGCAGAUUUUGUUGAUGGAGUUGAGGAUGUGUGCAAUACAGGUCUGGUUUUUUGUUAUGAAUAAGAUAACAAAUCCAUCAGGAAACUGGGAAAUGUAUCUUUGGAAAGGUGUAAGAGCAUUUUACCCUUGCGGUGGUUACAUGACAGCAUAAAAAUUAUAUCAGUGUCCGAGCACACGCGAGAUGUACUUAAAGUAGAGCCCAAUAUCUUCAAAUCGUCAACACAU